RNAcentral lists this signal recognition particle RNA (306 nucleotides) under Mus spicilegus (steppe mouse). RNAcentral's name for it is "Metazoan signal recognition particle RNA (ENSMSIG00000013751.1)". It matches the Rfam family "Metazoan signal recognition particle RNA". Rfam says of the family: The signal recognition particle (SRP) is a universally conserved ribonucleoprotein. It is involved in the co-translational targeting of proteins to membranes. Lineage: Eukaryota; Metazoa; Chordata; Mammalia; Rodentia; Muridae. The record is from RNAcentral.
GCCAGGCGUGGUGGCGCACGCCUUUAAUCCCAGCACUCGGGAGGCAGAGGCAGGCGGAUUUCUGAGUUCGAGGCCAGCCUGGUCUACAAAGUGAGUGCCAGGACAGCCAGGGCUACACAGAGAAACCCUGUUUCAAAAAACCCAAAAAAAAAAAAAAAAAAACGGUGGUGUCUCUGGCAUCUUUAGCAAUGACAAAGAACUCUUUUUUUUUUUUUUUGAGACAGGGUUUCACUGUGUAGUCCUAGCUGUACUGGAACUCACUCUGUAGACCAGGCUGGCCUCGAACUCAGAAAUCCACCUGCCUCU